GACGAACGCUGGCGGCGUGCUUAACACAUGCAAGUCGAGCGGUAAGGCCCUUUCGGGGGUACACGAGCGGCGAACGGGUGAGUAACACGUGGGUGACCUGCCCUCAGCUCUGGGAUAAGCCCGGGAAACUGGGUCUAAUACCGGAUAUGACUUCAUGACGCAUGUUGUGGAGUGGAAAGCCUUGUGCGGCUGAGGAUGGGCCCGCGGCCUAUCAGCUUGUUGGUGGGGUGAUGGCCUACCAAGGCGACGACGGGUAGCCGGCCUGAGAGGGCGACCGGCCACACUGGGACUGAGAUACGGCCCAGACUCCUACGGGAGGCAGCAGUGGGGAAUCUUGCGCAAUGGGCGAAAGCCUGACGCAGCGACGCCGCGUGAGGGA
RNAcentral lists this ribosomal RNA (379 nucleotides) under uncultured bacterium. RNAcentral's name for it is "bacterial SSU rRNA". It matches the Rfam family "Bacterial small subunit ribosomal RNA", at positions 28 to 408 of the family's 1533-position model. The record is from RNAcentral.